RNAcentral lists this ribosomal RNA (460 nucleotides) under uncultured soil bacterium. RNAcentral describes it as "bacterial SSU rRNA". It matches the Rfam family "Bacterial small subunit ribosomal RNA", at positions 26 to 518 of the family's 1533-position model. The record is from RNAcentral.
AGAAUGAACGUUGGCGGCGUGGAUUAGGCAUGCAAGUCGAGCGAGAACCGGAGCAAUCCGGGGAAAGCGGCAAACGGGGUAGUAAUGUGUCGGUACGUGCCCUCAGGACGGGGAUAGCCAGGGGAAACUCUGAUUAAUACCCGAUAAUCUCGAGAGAGCAAAGGUCCGCUGCCGGAGGAGCGGCCGACAUGGUAUCAGGUAGUUGGUGAGGUAACGGCUCACCAAGCCUUAGACGCCUAGGGGGCUGAGAGCGCGACCCCCACCACUGGGACUGAGAUACUGCCCAGACACCUACGGGUGGCUGCAGUCGAGAAUCUUCCGCAAUGGGCGAAAGCCUGACGGAGCGACGCCGCGUGCGGGAUGAAGGCCUGGGUGUAAACGCUAGCGAGGGGGAUGAAAGCCGCGAAGGCUUGACGAGACGCCCAAGAGAAGCGACGGCCUAAGUCGUGCCAGCAGCGAC